RNAcentral lists this ribosomal RNA (253 nucleotides) under uncultured bacterium. RNAcentral's name for it is "partial 16S ribosomal RNA". It matches the Rfam family "Bacterial small subunit ribosomal RNA", at positions 524 to 776 of the family's 1533-position model. The record is from RNAcentral.
UACAGAGGGUGCAAGCGUUGUUCGGAAUUAUUGGGCGUAAAGGGCGCGUAGGCGGUGCGGUAAGUCUCUUGUGAAAUCUCCGGGCUCAACCCGGAGCCUGCAAGGGAAACUGGGUGACUGGAGACAAGUAGAGGCAGAUGGAAUUCCGGGUGUAGCGGUGGAAUGCGUAGAGAUCCGGAAGAACACCAGAGGCGAAGGCGAUCUGCUGGGUUUGGUCUGACGCUGAGGCGCGAAAGCGUGGGGAGCGAACAGG